Molecule: ribosomal RNA, 460 nt
Filed under: uncultured bacterium
Lineage: Bacteria
Description: partial 16S ribosomal RNA
Rfam family: Bacterial small subunit ribosomal RNA
Source: RNAcentral
CCUACGGGCGGCAGCAGUGAGGAAUAUUGGUCAAUGGGCGCGAGCCUGAACCAGCCAAGUAGCGUGAAGGAUGACUGCCCUACGGGUUGUAAACUUCUUUUAUAAAGGAAUAAAGUGAGGCACGUGUGCCUUUUUGUAUGUACUUUAUGAAUAAGGAUCGGCUAACUCCGUGCCAGCAGCCGCGGUAAUACGGAGAAUCCGAGCGUUAUCCGGAUUUAUUGGGGUUAAAGGGAGCGUAGAUGGGUUGUUAAGUCAGUUGUGAAAGUUUGCGGCUCAACCGUAAAAUUGCAAUUGAUACUGGCAGGCUUGAGUACAGUUGAGGUAGGCGGAAUUCGUGGUGUAGCGGUGAAAUGCUUAGAUAUCACGAAGAACUCCGAUUGCGAAGGCAGCUUACUAAACUGCCACUGACAUUGAGGCGCGAAAGUGUGGGUAUCAAACAGGAUUAGAGACCCGUGUAGUC